GAUCAUGGCUCAGGAUGAACGCUGGCGGCGUGCUUAACACAUGCAAGUCAAACGGAACGCCAAGGAAAGAGUUUUCGGACAAUGGAAUUGGUUGUUUAGUGGCGGACGGGUGAGUAACGCGUGAGUAACCUGCCUUGGAGUGGGGAAUAACACAGUGAAAACUGUGCUAAUACCGCAUGAUAUAUUGGUGUCGCAUGGCACUGAUAUCAAAGAUUUAUCGCU
RNAcentral lists this ribosomal RNA (222 nucleotides) under uncultured bacterium. RNAcentral describes it as "partial 16S ribosomal RNA". It matches the Rfam family "Bacterial small subunit ribosomal RNA", at positions 15 to 219 of the family's 1533-position model. The record is from RNAcentral.